RNAcentral lists this ribosomal RNA (1236 nucleotides) under metagenome. Its description in RNAcentral is "bacterial LSU rRNA". It matches the Rfam family "Bacterial large subunit ribosomal RNA", at positions 1564 to 2808 of the family's 2925-position model. The record is from RNAcentral.
UGAAUACGAGACGCUAAGGCGUCGAAGUAGUGUAUGUCAUACUUCCAAGAAAAGCUUGCACUGUCAUAAGUAAAAAAUGCCUGUACCAUAACCGACACAGGUGGGUAGGUAGAGUAUACUAAGGGGCGCGAGAUAACUCUCUCUAAGGAACUCGGCAAAAUAACUCCGUAACUUCGGGAGAAGGAGUACCUUAUUCUAUAAGGUUGCAAUAACAAGAUCCAAGCAACUGUUUAUCAAAAACACAGGUCUCCGCUAAGUCGUAAGACGAUGUAUGGGGGCUGACGCCUGCCCAGUGCCAGAAGGUUAAAGAAGUCGGUUAGCAUUAGCGAAGCUGGUAACUGAAGCCCUGGUGAACGGCGGCCGUAACAAUAACGGUCCUAAGGUAGCGAAAUUCCUUGUCGGGUAAGUUCCGACCCGCACGAAAGGCGUAAUGAUUUGGAUACUGUCUCGGAGAGGGGCUCGGUGAAAUAGACUUGUCUGUGAAGAUGCGGACUACCUGCACCAGGACAGAAAGACCCUAUGAAGCUUUACUGUAACUUGAAAUUGAAAUUGGACUUUAUUCGCGCAGUAUAGGUGGGAGGUGUUGAUUAUAAUCUUGCGGGAUUAUUGGAGCCAUCAGUGAGAUACCACUCUUGUAAUGUUAGAUUUCUAACUUUGAAUCAUUAUCUGGUCAAAGGACAGUUUCAGGCGGGCAGUUUGACUGGGGCGGUCGCCUCCCAAACGGUAACGGAGGCGUACAAAGGUUUCCUCUGAACGGGUAGAAAUCGUAUCUAGAGUGUAAAGGCAUAAGGAAGCUUGACUGUGAGACCUACAAGUCGAACAGGGACGAAAGUCGGUCUUAGUGAUCUGACGGUACUGAGUGGAAAGGCCGUCACUCAACGGAUAAAAGUUACUCUAAGGAUAACAGGCUGAUCUCCCCCAAGAGUUCACAUCGACGGGGAGGUUUGGCACCUCGAUGUCGGCUCAUCGCAUCCUGGGGCGGUAGUACGUCCCAAGGGUUGGGCUGUUCGCCCAUGAAAGCGGUACGCGAGCUGGGUUCAGAACGUCGUGAGACAGUUCGGUCCAUAUCCGGUGUAGGCGUUAGAAUAUUGAGAGGAGCCUUCUUUAGUACGAGAGGACCGAGAAGGACAUACCUCUGGUGUACCAGUUAUCGUGCCAACGGUAAACGCUGGGUAGCUAUGUAUGGAGUGGAUAACCGCUGAAAGCAUCUAAGUGGGAAGCCCACCUCAAGAUAAG